GAAGCACCAGGAGAAACCAGGGGUGGCCACACUGUCCCCAGACAAAGUAGAUCCAAAGUCCAAAACUGCUGCAAGGCACAAAGAAGGCUAUUCUAGAAUGAUUAAAAAGGUCAAUUCUCCAGGAAGAGAUGAGAAUUAUAAAUACAUGUGCACCUAACAGCAGAGCACGCAAUUAUAUGACACAGACAGAACUGAAGGGAGAAAGAGUAACUCAACAGAGGAAGGGGUUUAAUAAACCACUUGCAAU
This is a long non-coding RNA of Lontra canadensis (Northern American river otter), 247 nucleotides long. RefSeq lists it as uncharacterized. The record is from RefSeq and is a predicted model, not a curated record. The transcript is spliced from 3 exons. Lineage: Eukaryota; Metazoa; Chordata; Mammalia; Carnivora; Mustelidae.